RNAcentral lists this ribosomal RNA (490 nucleotides) under uncultured bacterium. RNAcentral describes it as "partial 16S ribosomal RNA". It matches the Rfam family "Bacterial small subunit ribosomal RNA", at positions 29 to 507 of the family's 1533-position model. The record is from RNAcentral.
AAUGAACGCUGGCGGCAUGCCUUACACAUGCAAGUCGAACGGCAGCAUGACCUAGCUUGCUAGGUUGAUGGCGAGUGGCGAACGGGUGAGUAAUGCAUCGGAACGUGCCUUUUAGUGGGGGAUAACGUAGCGAAAGUUACGCUAAUACCGCAUAUUCUCUGAGGAGGAAAGCAGGGGGCCUUCGGGCCUUGCGCUAGAAGAGCGGCCGAUGUCGGAUUAGCUAGUUGGUGAGGUAAAGGCUCACCAAGGCAACGAUCCGUGGCGGGUCUGAGAGGAUGAUCCGCCACACUGGGACUGAGACACGGCCCAGACUCCUACGGGAGGCAGCAGUGGGGAAUUUUGGACAAUGGGCGCAAGCCUGAUCCAGCCAUGCCGCGUGAGUGAAGAAGGCCUUCGGGUUGUAAAGCUCUUUCGGCUGGGAAGAAAUCGCACUCUCUAAUACAGGGUGUGGAUGACGGUACCAGCAUAAGAAGCACCGGCUAACUACGUG